RNAcentral lists this ribosomal RNA (428 nucleotides) under uncultured bacterium. Its description in RNAcentral is "partial 16S ribosomal RNA". It matches the Rfam family "Bacterial small subunit ribosomal RNA", at positions 354 to 796 of the family's 1533-position model. The record is from RNAcentral.
GUAGGGAAUAUUGCGCAAUGGACGAAAGUCUGACGCAGCGACGCCGCGUGAGUGAUGAAGGCCUUAGGGUCGUAAAGCUCUGUUGAAUGGGAAGAAAAAAAUGACGGUACCAUUCGAGGAAGGACCGGCUAACUUCGUGCCAGCAGCCGCGGUAAUACGAGGGGUCCUAGCGUUGUUCGGAAUCAUUGGGCGUAAAGGGUGUGUAGGUGGCCAUGUAAGUCAGGUGUGAAAGCCCCGGGCUCAACCCGGGUAGUGCACUUGAUACUGCGUGGCUUGAGUACCGAAGAGGGUAGUGGAAUUCCAGGUGUAGUGGUGAAAUACGUAGAUAUCUGGAGGAACACCGGUGGCGAAGGCGGCUACCUGGUCGAGUACUGACACUGAGACACGAAAGCAUGGGGAUCAAACAGGAUUAGAAACCCGAGUAGUCC